This 873-nucleotide ribosomal RNA is filed under the name uncultured bacterium. RNAcentral describes it as "bacterial SSU rRNA". It matches the Rfam family "Bacterial small subunit ribosomal RNA", at positions 21 to 906 of the family's 1533-position model. The record is from RNAcentral.
GGCUCAGGAUGAACGCUGGCGGCGUGCUUAACACAUGCAAGUCGAACGAUGAACCUCACUUGUGGGGGGAUUAGUGGCGAACGGGUGAGUAACACGUGAGUAACCUGCCCUUAACUCUGGGAUAAGCCUGGGAAACUGGGUCUAAUACCGGAUAUGACUCCUCAUCGCAUGGUGGGGGGUGGAAAGCUUUUUGUGGUUUUGGAUGGACUCGCGGCCUAUCAGCUUGUUGGUGAGGUAAUGGCUCACCAAGGCGACGACGGGUAGCCGGCCUGAGAGGGUGACCGGCCACACUGGGACUGAGACACGGCCCAGACUCCUACGGGAGGCAGCAGUGGGGAAUAUUGCACAAUGGGCGAAAGCCUGAUGCAGCGACGCCGCGUGAGGGAUGACGGCCUUCGGGUUGUAAACCUCUUUCAGUAGGGAAGAAGCGAAAGUGACGGUACCUGCAGAAGAAGCGCCGGCUAACUACGUGCCAGCAGCCGCGGUAAUACGUAGGGCGCAAGCGUUAUCCGGAAUUAUUGGGCGUAAAGAGCUCGUAGGCGGUUUGUCGCGUCUGCCGUGAAAGUCCGGGGCUCAACUCCGGAUCUGCGGUGGGUACGGGCAGACUAGAGUGAUGUAGGGGAGACUGGAAUUCCUGGUGUAGCGGUGAAAUGCGCAGAUAUCAGGAGGAACACCGAUGGCGAAGGCAGGUCUCUGGGCAUUAACUGACGCUGAGGAGCGAAAGCAUGGGGAGCGAACAGGAUUAGAUACCCUGGUAGUCCAUGCCGUAAACGUUGGGCACUAGGUGUGGGGGACAUUCCACGUUUUCCGCGCCGUAGCUAACGCAUUAAGUGCCCCGCCUGGGGAGUACGGCCGCAAGGCUAAAACUCAAAG